Molecule: ribosomal RNA, 465 nt
Filed under: Vreelandella stevensii
Lineage: Bacteria; Pseudomonadati; Pseudomonadota; Gammaproteobacteria; Oceanospirillales; Halomonadaceae
Description: partial 16S ribosomal RNA
Rfam family: Bacterial small subunit ribosomal RNA
Source: RNAcentral
CCUACGGGCGGCAGCAGUGGGGAAUAUUGGACAAUGGGGGCAACCCUGAUCCAGCCAUGCCGCGUGUGUGAAGAAGGCCCUCGGGUUGUAAAGCACUUUCAGUGAGGAAGAACGCCUGGUGGUUAAUACCCAUCAGGAAAGACAUCACUCACAGAAGAAGCACCGGCUAACUCCGUGCCAGCAGCCGCGGUAAUACGGAGGGUGCGAGCGUUAAUCGGAAUUACUGGGCGUAAAGCGCGCGUAGGUGGCUUGAUAAGCCGGUUGUGAAAGCCCCGGGCUCAACCUGGGAACGGCAUCCGGAACUGUCAAGCUAGAGUGCAGGAGAGGAAGGUAGAAUUCCCGGUGUAGCGGUGAAAUGCGUAGAGAUCGGGAGGAAUACCAGUGGCGAAGCCGGCCUUCUGGACUGACACUGACACUGAGGUGCGAAAGCGUGGGUAGCAAACAGGAUUAGAUACCCUAGUAGUC